Zonotrichia albicollis (white-throated sparrow) is the source of this 635-nucleotide non-coding RNA. NCBI's taxonomy places the organism in Eukaryota, Metazoa, Chordata, Aves, Passeriformes, Passerellidae. The record is from RefSeq and is a predicted model, not a curated record.
UCUGCUUUUGGAAUGUGAAAGGAAGUGAUGGAGGGAGAAGUUGAUUAUCAGAAUCUGCAUGAAAUACUGAGAAAGUCAUAAUGCAAUUCAUCAUGUGCAUCUCUGUGACAUAUGAUCUUUAUUUAUACAUCCUUGUAAGAUGAAGAUCUUCUGCCACCUUAUUCACUAGUGCAUCUUCAUGACCUUUUGUACCAGGCAGAAAACCAUAAUGUUGCCAACUUAAAGUGUUGUGAACAUGGAAAGAGUUUGACAUCUGGAGAAUUGUUUCAGGAGUUUAUAGAUUUGCUCAGGUUUGCUAUUAGUCUAGACUAGCCAUAGGAAUCUCAACAUAUCUCCUGUGCUCAUUCACAACAAGGGCAUGAAAGGGUGCCAACCAAACUCCUGGAAAAAAAGACAAGAUUGUAAUGAAACAGCAAAUGAAAAAGAGAAAUAAAAGAAUAGGAAGGCAUGGUGUCCAACAAGCACUUAUGAAUCAUUCACCACCAAUACUAUGUUAUAUUUCUUUUAGGUUUUCAUUCUCCAAAAGGAAUGAAAAGUGUGGUGCCAACCAGUAGCUUCAUCACUUCAGCUCCUGAAAAACAGUCAGGCAUUUAAGAAAUCUUUACUCCCAUAAAAUAUGGCCAUAUUCCCUUCAU